UACGUAGGGCGCAAGCGUUAUCCGGAAUUAUUGGGCGUAAAGAGCUCGUAGGCGGUUUGUCGCGUCUGCCGUGAAAGUCCGGGGCUCAACUCCGGAUCUGCGGUGGGUACGGGCAGACUAGAGUGAUGUAGGGGAGACUGGAAUUCCUGGUGUAGCGGUGAAAUGCGCAGAUAUCAGGAGGAACACCGGUGGCGAAGGCGGGUCUCUGGGUAGUAACUGACGCUGAGGAACGAAAGCGUGGGUAGCGAACAGG
Molecule: ribosomal RNA, 253 nt
Filed under: uncultured bacterium
Lineage: Bacteria
Description: partial 16S ribosomal RNA
Rfam family: Bacterial small subunit ribosomal RNA
Source: RNAcentral